GCUCACCAUCGUCGCCCUGCUCAACACCACCGCCCUACUCCUGCUCAGCGUCCGCCCGCUCAACGUCGACCCCACCCAGGCUUGCGUGUAGUUUAGGGGGUGCUAGGGGGUCCUGAGACUCAGCGCCUUAGAAACCCAUGCAAAGUAUAUGUGGAAAAAAACGUUCCCGACAGCUCAGGACUCCCUAGCACCCCAAACACCCCUCUAACUAAGCGCAAGCCAGCUCAUCGCCGCUCUGCUCAACUCCGCCCUGUCACCUGAUUCCGGAGAUCGGCCUGCGCAUCCCCGCCAUGCUCCAGCUGGCACUACGCGGGGUCAAACAGAUUCUUUCCGCUGAGAAGGACCCAGCCGCCGCGCCGCGCCACGCCGCGACUCCGCUCACCAGCCGACAACUGGACCUUCUGGCUGCCGUGGCCGUGGUCGGCAGACCACAGGUACGUCCCUCAAGCCUUCCUUGUUGUACAUUUGGCCCGCUUGCAGUGGCCCCGGUCGUUCCCUGACGCCGCCCCUCGGCCGUUGGCUGGCGCGCCACGCUGGGCCUGCCCUCGCUGCACCCGCGGGUCUCCCCCGUAGGCCCCCCUCCCCCCCGCGGGGCUGGCGAGUGGCAGCGCUCGGGGCAGCGCGUCGGCCGCGGCUGGCGGGCGAGUGUAAUACUUUGUGACCGGCGGACCACGAGGGCAAAGUGGUGGCGUACUCCAACCGCACGUAGGCACCACUAACAACUUGUUCUGUUCCUCUUCCAUGCCGCCGCUGCCCUGGCCGUCGAGACCUCGGCCGUCCUGAUGCUGCACCAAGCUGCUUGACUCGGACGCUCCUCUGGGACCCCGAGCAGUGCCUCACCACGGCCUCGCCGGCGCCUCCUUGGUCGCCUACAAGCAGAGUCUCCGUGGAAAGGUCCGCUGCAGCCGCCCGCCUCGCCGUGGACAGUCAGCCUGCCCCGGGUCGUGCGCCGCGAGCCACCGUUUCAGCUGCGGGAGAAGUGACUGUGGUUUGCGUAACCAGAUGUUCGUUUCUCUAAUUGCUUUUCCAGUUCCAGGCGCGUUCCAGUUCCGGCCUCGUCAGCUAGUCUCCGCGGUCGGCGAAGGCCUUCAAAACCUCCAGGACCUCCAGGACCUCCAGCUACACCACCAGCCCUCGCUCGCCGUCCUCGUCGCCGUCCUGGGCCGCGCCCUACUUGUGCUGGCACUCCGCGGGGGCAAACAGCCAAGAACAGGGAGGUGAUAGCCCCGCCGCGACUCAUGACUCGGCCCCUGAGGAAGGACCUCGGCCGCCUUGUUGCUGCGCUGCACUACUGUGUUCGACUGGGACGCGCCCUGGGACAUCAAGCAGUGCGUCACCCGCUCCUUCUUGACCGCCUACAAGCAGAGAGUCUUCUCGGGAGUCGUGCCUGGCCGUCGCUCUGCCAGCUGCGCGCCCCACCUCGGCCCGCCCCCGCCGUGGACGGUCGGCCUGCCUGGGACGUCCCCGCAACACUGCCGCAGUUCCGCCCUGGCCAGCAGGAAGCUCCCGCAGCUGGCCAGGACACAAUGAGCUCAGGACUUCCAGGAUCCGCUCUGCCCCUACGCCCGACACUUGAACCGAGAAAGGAAGGACUACCGGCCCGUUCCAGUGCCGGCCUCGUCAGCUAGUCUCCGCCGUCGGCGAAGGCCUCCAGGACCUCCAGGACCUCCGGAUACACCACCCCAGCCCUCCCUCGCCGUCCUCGUCGCCGACACUCCGCGGGGGAAGCAGAUUAUUGCUACCGCCGAGAAUGAGAAGGUCCUAGCCCAGCCGCCGCGCCCCGCCUGACCCCGCCUCGCCCCGCCCCUCCCCCGCCCGCAGCCGGCGAAGACACCAAGACUCUACGACCCGCUCCGCCCCCGGUACCCGAC
Molecule: long non-coding RNA, 1871 nt
Organism: Frankliniella occidentalis (western flower thrips)
Lineage: Eukaryota; Metazoa; Arthropoda; Insecta; Thysanoptera; Thripidae
Exons: 7
Source: RefSeq, a predicted model, not a curated record